This 1365-nucleotide ribosomal RNA is filed under the name uncultured bacterium. Its description in RNAcentral is "bacterial SSU rRNA". It matches the Rfam family "Bacterial small subunit ribosomal RNA", at positions 28 to 1381 of the family's 1533-position model. The record is from RNAcentral.
GAUUAACGCUGGCGGCGUGCCUAACACAUGCAAGUCGAGCGGCAGCGAGUUUUACACUGAAUUCUGGAAGCUUCUAGUUGAAAGAGAAGAUUUAUUCAAGAAUUUUGUGUAAAAUGUCGGCGAGCGGCGGACGGCUGAGUAACGCGUGGGAACGUACCCCAAAGUGAGGGAUAACGCAUCGAAAGGUGUGCUAAUACCGCAUAUGGUCUUCGGAUUAAAGCCUUCGGGCGCUUUGGGAACGGCCUGCGUAAGAUUAGAUAGUUGGUGGGGUAAUGGCCUACCAAGUCGACGAUCUUUAACUGGUUUGAGAGGAUGAUCAGUCAGACUGGAACUGAGACACGGUCCAGACUCCUACGGGAGGCAGCAGUGAGGAAUCUUCCACAAUGGGCGAAAGCCUGAUGGAGCAACGCCGCGUGCAGGAUGAAGGCCUUCGGGUUGUAAACUGCUUUUAUAAGUGAGGAUUAUGACAGUAACUUAUGAAUAAGGAUCGGCUAACUACGUGCCAGCAGCCGCGGUCAUACGUAGGAUCCGAGCGUUAUCCGGAGUGACUGGGCGUAAAGAGUUGCGUAGGUGGUUUAAUAAGCGAAUAGUGAAAUCUGGUGGCUCAACCAUUCAGACUAUUAUUCGAACUGUUAAACUCGAGAGCAGAAGAGGUAGCUGGAAUUUCUAGUGUAGGAGUGAAAUCCGUAGAUAUUAGAAGGAACACCGAUGGCGUAGGCAGGCUACUGGGCUGUUUCUGACACUGAGGCACGAAAGCGUGGGGAGCGAACCGGAUUAGAUACCCGGGUAGUCCACGCCGUAAACGAUGGAUACUAGCUGUUUGGGGUAUCGACCCCCUGAGUAGCGAAGCUAACGCGUUAAGUAUCCCGCCUGUGGAGUACGAUCGCAAGAUUAAAACAUAAAGGAAUUGACGGGGACCCGCACAAGCGGUGGAUCAUGUUCUUUAAUUCGAUGAUAACCGAUAAACCUUACCAGGUCUUGACAUCCUUGGAAUCUUUCAGAAAUGAGAGAGUGCUUUUUAAGAGCCAAGUGACAGGUGAUGCAUGGCCGUCGUCAGCUCGUGUCGUGAGAUGUUUGGUUAAGUCCAUCAACGAGCGCAACCCUUGUCAGUAGUUGUAUUUUUCUACUGAGACUGCCCCGGUAACGGGGAGGAAGGAGGGGAUGACGUCAGGUCAGUAUUUCCCUUACGUCCUGGGCUAGAAACGUGAUACAAUGGCUAGUACAAUGCGCAGCGAAGCCGCGAGGUGAAGCAAAUCGCAUCAAAGCUAGUCCCAGUUCGGAUUGUAGGCUGAAACUCGCCUGCAUGAAGUCGGAAUCGCUAGUAAUCGCAGAUCAGCAUGCCGCGGUGAAUACGUUCCCGGGUCU